GACAAACGCUGGCGGCGUGCUUAACACAUGCAAGUCGAACGGAGUGCCUAAGAAAGAGACUUCGGUCAAUUUCUUUGGUUACUUAGUGGCGGACGGGUGAGUAACACGUGAGUAACCUGCCCUUGAGAGGGGAACAACACACCGAAAGGUGUGCUAAUACCGCAUAACAUAUUGAAACCGCAUGGUUUUAANAUCAAAGAUUUAUCGCUCAAGGAUGGGCUCGCGGCCGAUUAGGUAGUUGGUGAGGUAACGGCUCACCAAGCCGACGAUCGGUAGCCGGACUGAGAGGUUGAACGGCCACAUUGGGACUGAGACACGGCCCAGACUCCUACGGGAGGCAGCAGUGGGGAAUAUUGCACAAUGGGGGAAACCCUGAUGCAGCGACGCCGCGUGAAGGACGAAGGUCUUCGGAUCGUAAACUUCUAUCCCUUGGGUGAAGAUAAUGACGGUAGCCGAGAAGGAAG
Molecule: ribosomal RNA, 464 nt
Filed under: uncultured bacterium
Lineage: Bacteria
Description: bacterial SSU rRNA
Rfam family: Bacterial small subunit ribosomal RNA
Source: RNAcentral